CAGUCGCCACGGUAAUACGGAGGGGGCUAGCGUUGUUCGGAAUUACUGGGCGUAAAGCGCACGUAGGCGGCUUGGUAAGUUAGAGGUGAAAGCCUGGAGCUCAACUUCAGAAUUGCCUUUAAGACUGCCGAGCUAGCAGGUGAGAGAGGUAAGUGGAAUUCCGAGUGUAGAGGUGAAAUUCGUAGGUAUUCGGAAGAACACCAGUGGCGAAGGCGGCUUACUGGCUCAUACUGGACGCUGAGGUGCGAAAGCGUGGGGAGCAAACAGGAUUAGAUACCCGCGUAGUCCCUGUCUCUUAUAC
RNAcentral lists this ribosomal RNA (301 nucleotides) under uncultured bacterium. Its description in RNAcentral is "partial 16S ribosomal RNA". It matches the Rfam family "Bacterial small subunit ribosomal RNA", at positions 509 to 807 of the family's 1533-position model. The record is from RNAcentral.